RNAcentral lists this ribosomal RNA (468 nucleotides) under uncultured bacterium. Its description in RNAcentral is "partial 16S ribosomal RNA". It matches the Rfam family "Bacterial small subunit ribosomal RNA", at positions 28 to 507 of the family's 1533-position model. The record is from RNAcentral.
GACGAACGCUGGCGGCGUGCUUAACACAUGCAAGUCGAACGGAAAGGCCCUGCUUUUGUGGGGUGCUCGAGUGGCGAACGGGUGAGUAACACGUGAGUAACCUGCCCUUGACUUUGGGAUAACUUCAGGAAACUGGGGCUAAUACCGGAUAGGAGCUCCUGCUGCAUGGUGGGGGUUGGAAAGUUUCGGCGGUUGGGGAUGGUCUCGCGGCUUAUCGGCUUGUUGGUGGGGUAGUGGCGUACCAAGGCUUUGACGGGUAGCCGGCCUGAGAGGGUGACCGGCCACAUGGGGACUGCGAUACGGCCCAGAAUCCUACCGGCGGCAGCGGUGGAAAAUAUUACGCAAUGGGCGGAAGCCUGAUGCGGCGGCGCCGCGUGCGGGAUAACGGCUUUCGGGUUGUAAACCGCUUUCGCCUGUGACGAAGCGUGAGUGACGGUAAUGGGUAAAGAAGCACCGGCUAACUACGUG